RNAcentral lists this ribosomal RNA (494 nucleotides) under uncultured bacterium. Its description in RNAcentral is "partial 16S ribosomal RNA". It matches the Rfam family "Bacterial small subunit ribosomal RNA", at positions 28 to 523 of the family's 1533-position model. The record is from RNAcentral.
GAUGAACGCUAGCGGCAGGCUUAACACACGCAAGUCGAGGGGUAUAGGUUUUCGGACCUAGAGACCGGCGCACGGGUGCGUAACGCGUAUGCAAUCUACCUUUCACAGAGGGAUAGCCCAGAGAAAUUUGGAUUAAUACCUCAUAGUAUUAUAGAAUGGCAUCAUUUUAUAAUUAAAGUCACAACGGUGAAAGAUGAGCAUGCGUCCCAUUAGCUAGUUGGUAUGGUAACGGCAUACCAAGGCUACGAUGGGUAGGGGUCCUGAGAGGGCGAUCCCCCCCACUGGUACUGAGACACGGACCAGACUCCUACGGGAGGCAGCAGUGAGGAAUAUUGGUCAAUGGGCGCAAGCCUGAACCAGCCAUGCCGCGUGCAGGAUGACGGUCCUAUGGAUUGUAAACUGCUUUUGUACGGGAAGAAACACUCCUACGUGUAGGAACUUGACGGUACCGUAAGAAUAAGGAUCGGCUAACUCCGUGCCAGCCGCCGCCGUAA